GCUCUGGUAGCUCAGUUGGUUAGAGCGUGCGACUGUUAAUCGCGAGGCCGUUGGUUCAAUCCCAACCUGGAGCG
This 74-nucleotide transfer RNA is filed under the name Candidatus Endolissoclinum sp. TMED37. RNAcentral describes it as "tRNA-Asn". It matches the Rfam family "tRNA". From Rfam's summary of the family: Transfer RNA (tRNA) molecules are approximately 80 nucleotides in length. Lineage: Bacteria; Pseudomonadati; Pseudomonadota; Alphaproteobacteria; Rhodospirillales; Rhodospirillaceae. The record is from RNAcentral.